GGGUAGCCGGCCUGAGAGGGUGUCCGGCCACACUGGGACUGAGAUACGGCCCAGACUCCUACGGGAGGCAGCAGUGGGGAAUAUUGCACAAUGGGCGCAAGCCUGAUGCAGCGACGCCGCGUGGGGGAUGACGGCCUUCGGGUUGUAAACCUCUUUCAAUAGGGACGAAGCGUAAGUGACGGUACCUAUAGAAGAAGCACCGGCCAACUACGUGCCAGCAGCCGCGGUAAUACGUAGGGUGCGAGCGUUGUCCGGAAUUACUGGGCGUAAAGAGCUCGUAGGUGGUUUGUCGCGUUGUUCGUGAAAACCCAUGGCUUAACUGUGGGCGUGCGGGCGAUACGGGCAGACUGGAGUACUGCAGGGGAGACUGGAAUUCCUGGUGUAGCGGUGGAAUGCGCAGAUAUCAGGAGGAACACCGGUGGCGAAGGCGGGUCUCUGGGCAGUAACUGACGCUGAGGAGCGAAAGCGUGGGGAGCGAACAGGAUUAGAUACCCUGGUAGUCCACGCCGUAAACGGUGGGUACUAGGUGUGGGUUUCCUUCCUUGGGAUCCGUGCCGUAGCUAACGCAUUAAGUACCCCGCCUGGGGAGUACGGCCGCAAGGCUAAAACUCAAAGGAAUUGACGGGGGCCCGCACAAGCGGCGGAGCAUGUGGAUUAAUUCGAUGCAACGCGAAGAACCUUACCUGGGUUUGACAUGCACAGGACGCCGGUAGAGAUAUCGGUUCCCUUGUGGCCUGUGUGCAGGUGGUGCAUGGCUGUCGUCAGC
Molecule: ribosomal RNA, 766 nt
Filed under: uncultured Actinomycetes bacterium
Lineage: Bacteria; Bacillati; Actinomycetota; Actinomycetes
Description: bacterial SSU rRNA
Rfam family: Bacterial small subunit ribosomal RNA
Source: RNAcentral